RNAcentral lists this long non-coding RNA (396 nucleotides) under Erythranthe guttata (spotted monkey flower). RNAcentral describes it as "long non-coding RNA (EGUT_LNC001703)". The record is from RNAcentral. Lineage: Eukaryota; Viridiplantae; Streptophyta; Magnoliopsida; Lamiales; Phrymaceae.
AGUUAAUUGCAUAGACCCCCCUGUGUUAUUUCUCGGAAGCAAAAAACCCCCCCGGAAAAAUAAAUUAGCAUAUAACCCCCUAUGUUGUGUUUUAGUCAGCCCACCGCCCCUUUGUGUGCACUGGCUCGUUGACUUACAUGAAAUGACAGAAUUGCCCUGAAUAAAAAAUAAAGCAAAAAAGAAAAAAAAAUCAAACUAAUUUAAUUAUAAAUAACCUAAAUUUAGAGGACCAAAUUGUAAUUUCCAAAGUUUACACCUUCUUCCCCAUUUCCGUCAGCACCGCCGCCGUCUGGCCCUCCGACACCCACCCACUCCUUCAAAUUUCUCUCCCUCUACACUGCCGCCGUCUCGAAUCACCGCCGCCCACCCCUCGUUCAAAUUCCUCUCCUCGACACC